AAGUAUAUGCGUUUUCGGAACGCAGAAACUGCGAACGGCUCAUUACAACAGUUAUCAUCUACUUGACAUUCCCCCUUUUAUAAGGAUACCUGCGGAAAAGCUGCAGCUAAUACUUGACCGAUGCCUCGCCUACCCUUUGUGGUGGACGGGGCGGUACUUGUUAGCUCUGCAAGAAAAAGGAAAAGAUGGGAGUGCGAACAAAGAAGCGACACGUAUAGGGGAUGUUGUUCCCUUAUGAAGUGCGGAUCAAUCGAGUUUCUGACCUAUCAGCUUUGGAUGUUAGGGUAUUGGCCUAGCAUGGCGAUGACGGGUAACGGGGAAUUGGAGUUCGAUUCCGGAGAGGGAGCCUGAGAAAUCGCUACCACAUCUAAGGAAGGCAGCAGGCGCGUAAAUUACCCAAUUCUGACCAAGAGAGGUAGUGACAAGAAAUAUCGAUACAAGGUCCUUUCGGACUUUGCAAUUGAAAUGGUGGGAAUCUAAACCCUUCCCAGAGCAGCCAUUGGAGGGCAAGUCUGGUGCCAGCAGCCGCGGUAAUUCCAGCUCCAAUAGCGUAUAUUAACAUUGUUGCAGUUAAAACGCUCGUAGUUGACCUUCAAGGGCGUGGUCUUCGGGGUCCCCGCCAGGUCCCCUCUUCGGAGGGGUACUUGGUGCGCGCGACUCCACUGCGAUGCGCCCUUUUAAAGAAUCCGCGUUGCCUUUCUGGGCGAUGUGAUUCUUUGUUACUUUGAGUAAAUUAGAGUGUUCAACGCAGGCAACUGCUCGGGGCGACCCGCUUGAAUACUACAGCAUGGAAUAACGGAAUUGAGGGAGCCAAUAGAGGUUUCUCCAUUUUUCUUGGAUUGGCUUUUUAGUACGAUUAAUAGGAGUAGCUUGGGGGCCUUCGUAUUCAGAUGUUAGAGGUGAAAUUCUUAGAUUUUCUGGAGACGAACUACUGCGAACGCAUUGGCCUAACAUACUUCCAUUAAUCAAGAACGAAAGUUAAGGGAUUGAAGACGAUCAGAUACCGUCGUAAUCUUAACCAUAAACUAUGCCGACUGGGCGUCGGGCGGGUCUCAUUGGUGUGUGGCCUCACACUAUUUCGGUAGUGUUUGGGGUCCACACCGUACGAACUCCCUCGGUACCCUGAGAGAAAUCAAAGUCUUUGGGUUCUGGGGCGAGUAUUCGCGCAAGCGAGAAAGUUAAAAGAAUUGACGGAAGGGCACCACCAGGCGUGGAGCUUGCGGCUUAAUUUGACUCAACACGGGGAACCUCACUAGUUUACGACAAGAGUAGGAUUGACACUCGGUGGUUUACCAUCGGAUUGAAGCUCUUUCUUGAUUUCUUGGUGGGUGAUGCGUGGCCGUUUUUAGUUCGUGAAAUGAUUUGUCUGGUUAAUUCCGAUAACGAACGAGAUCUCACCCUGCUCAUUAGCACCGGGUGCUAUACGUCUCAACGGUGGGUGCGACUGGCAAGCUUUGCAGAUCGUUGGAACGGGCGGUGUAUGAGGUCGGUCUAGAUGUGACUUCGAGUCUGCUAGGCGCUCUACGCUUGAUUCCUUUUCCUUCGGGUAUGCUCUGCGACGCUGGCGUGUUUGUCCGUUGGGGCGCCCCCGGGGAUACCGCUUCUUAGAGGGACUGGGGAUGUAGAAUCCUAGGAAGUUUGAGGCCACAACAGGUCUGUGAUGUCCUUAGAUGAACUAGGCUGCACGCGUGCUACACUGAUGCGUGUAGCGAGUGUUUGGGGUGGCCCGCGUUUCUCUCUUCACGGGGAGAUUCGUUGGGUGCGCCCGCCUGCUCCGAGAGGAGUGGGGAAUCUGGAGUACGCAUCGUGAUGGGGAUAGACGAUUGCAAUUAUUCGUCUUGAACGAGGAAUGCCUAGUAAGCAUGAUUCAUCAGAUUGUGCUGACUACGUCCCUGCCCUUUGUACACACCGCCCGUCGCUCCUACCGAUUGAAAGAUAUGAUGAAUUGUUCGGACUGCGCUGCGGGGGCUGUUGUCCGCGCGGGGUGGGAAGAACCGUAAAUCCUAUCUUUUAAAGGAAG
This 2020-nucleotide ribosomal RNA is filed under the name Leucocytozoon toddi complex sp. RNAcentral describes it as "SSU rRNA". It matches the Rfam family "Eukaryotic small subunit ribosomal RNA". The record is from RNAcentral. Lineage: Eukaryota; Apicomplexa; Aconoidasida; Haemosporida; Leucocytozoidae.